GCCAACCAAUGACUUCAUCCCUGUUUGGGUAGUGCUUUCACAUUGGGUUUCUUAGAGGCCAUUAACCAGUGUAAAGAUUUGCUUACCUGUGGUCCCAUGCAGGGCUGCUCCUGUGAGCAUGGCAGUUGCUCUCAGAAGUGGACUGUGAGUGUGGUGGGCACCGUGAGUGACCAGUCCAGCACAAUGAUUAUAGGCCAUCUGAGCAGCUAAGGAGAAGACAGAUCACUCAAGAACUGAAGUUGUUUAUUAGCUACAGCAUUUCUGCUGCUGUGAUACACAUUCAGCCAUUUUGGAGGAAAGCUAAGCAGUACUGACUGCCCAUUUUCAUGAACUUUAAAUAACAAAUACUAUUUUUCAAGAUCUUCAUUUUAUCAUUAAAUUCAGCUAAUUACUACCUGUUUAAAAAUAAAUAAAUAAAUAAAUUUCAGAAUAUCUGAAACUCAGUUUCAGAUAUUCUGUUACAUGCGACAGAAAAUGAACUAAGACAUGUGCUGAGUAGGAUUUAUGAUUUUAUGAACUUUGGAUUUUGUUUUCAAUACAGUUGUUUAAACUUCAUUAUAGGCUGGGUGUGGUGGCUCAUGCCUGUAAUUCUGGCAUUUUGAGAGGCUGAGAUGGGAGGAUUGCUUGAGGCCAGGAGUUUGAGAUCAGCCUGGCCAACAUAGGGAGACCCCAUCUCUACCAAAAAAAAAAAAAUUAGCUAGGCAUGGUGGUGCAUGCCUGUGGUCCACCUAAUUGGGAGGCUGAGGUGGGAGGAUCACUUGAGCCCAGAAGGUUGAGGCUGCAGUAAGCCAAGAUCGUGCCACUGCACUCCAGCCUGGGUGACAGAGAGAGACUAUCUCAAAAAACAAAACAAAACACAAAUAGACUUUGUUAUGGUGGACUUAUUUUUUUUCCCUCAUUAUAUUCCUAAGAAACUUUCUGUAAGUCUAUGCUAUAAUAUUAAAAUAAAGUAUACCUUCUUCACAAGAUACCAAAUUUAUUAACCAAGGUGAAAAAAUUGGUGACAAACUACCAGGCUGCUUUCACCUACCUGUGUAACAAUGUUUUCUCUAGUAAAUUAACAUUUGAAGAUGUUAUGAACAGAUGACCAUGCCAUAUGAGCAACAAACUAUGAAGAAUGAACAUUUAUAAACACUUUACUUUUGUUAUUGAAUAAAAUUUACAACCAGGUUAA
This is a long non-coding RNA of Symphalangus syndactylus (siamang), 1174 nucleotides long. RefSeq lists it as uncharacterized. The record is from RefSeq and is a predicted model, not a curated record. NCBI's taxonomy places the organism in Eukaryota, Metazoa, Chordata, Mammalia, Primates, Hylobatidae.